Achroia grisella is the source of this 738-nucleotide long non-coding RNA. RefSeq lists it as uncharacterized. NCBI's taxonomy places the organism in Eukaryota, Metazoa, Arthropoda, Insecta, Lepidoptera, Pyralidae. The record is from RefSeq and is a predicted model, not a curated record. The transcript is spliced from 3 exons.
GUGAUUGUUGCAAAUACAUCUAUGAGUACCAUGUACCAUACCAUAUGAUAUAGUGAUAAUAUAUAUGGUAAAAUGUAUGCAUACAAGUAAAGCCUAGAAAGCAAGUAUACCUACAAGUAUGCAACAGUCUGAUGAUGUGCAGUCUCUCCGGCACUUUCCUCCGAGGACAAUUAAUUAAAUUAAAUUAAUUAUAUUUUAGGUUUUAUAAUUGGAAUUUGGAAUGCUGGGUGUAUUGGGCUGUAUUUGACUGUACACAUGCCACCCCAUUGUAAAUUAAGAAGAGAUAUUACUGUAGAAAACAAUACCAUUCAUUAAAUAUAUAAUUGGUUAGUAAUGCUGACAUGGAGAUUAUAAGUGUGGAUGCCAACUGGAACUGGAGCUACUCAUGACAUUUGGGCAAACCAGAGGCAUUAAGCAACAUCUAGAGGACUUAAGCUGGAAUAAAUCCUUAUGAUUACUUGGAGAUCCAGGAUAUGCUUUAGAGAAGUAUACUCCCAUCUCAAAUGCUAUACCAGGACCACAAGAAGCAUAUUACACUGUAAGAACAUGGAAUAUCAUUGAGAGCACAAUUGGGCUUCUAGAUUUAGAUGCCUACAUGUACUUUGAGCUCUUAUAGAGAACUAAAUGAAGGUCUAGCUGCUAGACAAACCCAUGUUGUUUAGUUGUGGAACUAAGAAAUUGAAACAUUUAUAAAUAAUAAUAUUGUUAAUAGGUCAAUGUUUUAAUUAUUUGUUUUUA